This 86-nucleotide transfer RNA is filed under the name Halothermothrix orenii H 168. It matches the Rfam family "tRNA". From Rfam's summary of the family: Transfer RNA (tRNA) molecules are approximately 80 nucleotides in length. Their secondary structure includes four short double-helical elements and three loops (D, anti-codon, and T loops). Further hydrogen bonds mediate the characteristic L-shaped molecular structure. tRNAs have two regions of fundamental functional importance: the anti-codon, which is responsible for specific mRNA codon recognition, and the 3' end, to which the tRNAs corresponding amino acid is attached (by aminoacyl-tRNA synthetases). tRNAs cope with the degeneracy of the genetic code in two manners: having more than one tRNA (with a specific anti-codon) for a particular amino acid; and 'wobble' base-pairing, i.e. permitting non-standard base-pairing at the 3rd anti-codon position. The record is from Rfam by way of RNAcentral. Lineage: Bacteria; Bacillati; Bacillota; Clostridia; Halanaerobiales; Halothermotrichaceae.
GGAGGGAUGUCCGAAUUGGCAAGGGGCCGGACUUGAAAUCCGGUGAAGCCCGUAAGGGUGUGUGGGUUCGAGUCCCACUCCCUCCG